AUACGGAGGAUCCGAGCGUUAUCCGGAUUUAUUGGGUUUAAAGGGUGCGUAGGCGGUUUGAUAAGUCAGCGGUGAAAUAUUUCAGCUUAACUGGAAGGGUGCCGUUGAUACUGUCGAGCUUGAAUUUAGUUGCUGUGGGUGGAAUGUGUGGUGUAGCGGUGAAAUGCAUAGAUAUCACACAGAAUAUCGAUUGCGAAGGCAGCUCACAAAGCUAAUAUUGACGCUGAUGCACGAAAGUGUGGGGAUCAAACAGGAUUAGAUACCCUGGUAGUCCACACUGUAAACGAUGAUAACUCGCUGUCGGCGAUACAUAGUCGGUGGCCAAGCGAAAGCGAUAAGUUAUCCACCUGGGGAGUACGACCGCAAGGUUGAAACUCAAAGGAAUUGACGGGG
Molecule: ribosomal RNA, 393 nt
Filed under: uncultured bacterium
Lineage: Bacteria
Description: partial 16S ribosomal RNA
Rfam family: Bacterial small subunit ribosomal RNA
Source: RNAcentral